UAUCUCUGUAGAGUCUGCAUAUCAAUAAGCGGAGGAAAAGAAACUAACAAGGAUUCCCCUAGUAACGGCGAGUGAAGCGGGAAGAGCUCAAAUUUGAAAUCUUCAAGGUUUACCUUGACGAAUUGUAGUUUAAAGAAGUGUUUUCGGUUAGAGGAGUAGUAAAAGUUCUUUGGAAUAGGACAUCAUAGAGGGUGAGAAUCCCGUAUUUGACUAUUCUUUCUAGCUUUGUGAUACACUUUCAAAGAGUCGGAUUGUUUGGGAAUGCAGUCCAAAAUGGGUGGUAAAUUUCAUCUAAAGCUAAAUGUUGGCGAGAGACCGAUAGCGAACAAGUACCGUGAGGGAAAGAUGAAGAGAACUUUGAAAAGAGAGUUAAACAGUACGUGAAAUUGUCAAAAGGGAAGCGUUUGACACCAGUGUUGUUUUUCCGAAAAUCAAUUAAAAAUUGAUUCAUGCCAGGUUGUAUUGACCUUAUCAGCUUGCAAUUUGGUUUUGGGUCUCUUUUUGAUGCACUUUUCGGUUAACAAGUCAACAUCAAUUUCCUUUGCUGUAAAAAGGUAAGAGGAAGGUGGCUUCAAUUUCGGUUGAAGUGUUUAUAGCCUUUUAUCUCUGCAGUCGGGGAGAUUGAGGUCUGCAGCGUAGAUCCUUCGGGGCUAGAUACAUUUAUGCUAAGUUAUAGCUUUUCAUAGACAACUUGUUGACUAUGUUUAGUCAUGUAGCUUACUCGUAAGUGCUAUUUUACCUACGCUUAGGAUGUUGAGCGCAUGUCUCUCUCU
RNAcentral lists this ribosomal RNA (773 nucleotides) under uncultured Neocallimastigales. RNAcentral's name for it is "partial large subunit ribosomal RNA". It matches the Rfam family "Eukaryotic large subunit ribosomal RNA", at positions 24 to 642 of the family's 3401-position model. The record is from RNAcentral. Lineage: Eukaryota; Fungi; Neocallimastigomycota; Neocallimastigomycetes; Neocallimastigales.